Molecule: long non-coding RNA, 222 nt
Filed under: Elaeis guineensis (African oil palm)
Lineage: Eukaryota; Viridiplantae; Streptophyta; Magnoliopsida; Arecales; Arecaceae
Description: long non-coding RNA (EGUI_LNC061973)
Source: RNAcentral
CUACUCGACUCGAAUGCAUUCUUAUCGAGUUAAUGGCAUAUCCCUCCCACCGGUCUCACUUACCUGGCCAUAUGUGUCGACUCAGUUCUGAUUAGAGGUGGCUAACAAUUCGAGCUAACCCAUGCUACUAGGUUAGUCAUAAUUGUUAUGACUAUGUCAAGUCAAGUUUAAUGAGACCUAAAUAAAUCUCUCUAAAAAAAUAUUAAGUCUAGGUCUUCCACC